Molecule: ribosomal RNA, 397 nt
Filed under: uncultured bacterium
Lineage: Bacteria
Description: partial 16S ribosomal RNA
Rfam family: Bacterial small subunit ribosomal RNA
Source: RNAcentral
AUACGUAGGGGGCGAGCGUUGUCCGGAAUGAUUGGGCGUAAAGGGCGCGUAGGCGGCCUGUUAAGUCUGGAGUGAAAGUCCUGUUUUCAAGAUGGGAAUUGCUUUGGAUACUGAUGGGCUUGAGUGCAGGAGAGGUUAUCGGAAUUCCCAGUGUAGCGGUGAAAUGCGUAGAGAUCGGGAGGAACACCAGUGGCGAAGGCGGGUAACUGGACUGCAACUGACGCUGAGGCGCGAAAGUGUGGGGAGCAAACAGGAUUAGAUACCCUGGUAGUCCACACUGUAAACGAUGAAUGCUAGGUGUAAGAGGUAUCGACCCCUUUUGUGCCGGAGUUAACACAAUAAGCAUUCCGCCUGGGGAGUACGGCCGCAAGGUUGAAACUCAAAGGAAUUGGCGGGG